GGGCGCGGGUCUUACGCGGGGGAUCGUCGCGGGUCCUCCGCGGGUCCUCCGCGGGUCCUCCGCGGGGGUAGUCGCGAUCCGCAACCAUCCCCAGCGAAAGGACUUCUUGUUUCGCGGUUGGCAUAGCUGCUUGGAGCGGCUCGCGACCGGCCGCUCGACGACCGACCGCUCGACCACCGACCGGUCGGUGCUCGGUCGGUGGCUGAAUUCGGACACACUCGAAGUGCACGCACACGCACAUACCCUGCGACGAGACUACUACGGGCAACACUGUUGUGGUUUUGCUCCGUACUUUGUUGUCAGGCUUUUGGUCGUUUGUGAGUUCGCGGAGGAAGACCGUCCAUGAGUUGCAUUUGCGCUUGACAUAUCAGCUACGCAGCCGUCAGCUGUCACCCAAUGUAUGCUAUAUCGGCGUCACAGCACAGCAUGAGAAAUGGCCCCUUUUUCUCAUGAUCACAGGAAUGAAUCUGGUCACCAAAGU
Frankliniella occidentalis (western flower thrips) is the source of this 481-nucleotide long non-coding RNA. RefSeq lists it as uncharacterized. The record is from RefSeq and is a predicted model, not a curated record. The transcript has 3 exons. Lineage: Eukaryota; Metazoa; Arthropoda; Insecta; Thysanoptera; Thripidae.